Molecule: transfer RNA, 93 nt
Filed under: Gammaproteobacteria bacterium TMED119
Lineage: Bacteria; Pseudomonadati; Pseudomonadota; Gammaproteobacteria
Also listed under: 1 other name
Description: tRNA-Ser
Rfam family: tRNA
About the family: Transfer RNA (tRNA) molecules are approximately 80 nucleotides in length. Their secondary structure includes four short double-helical elements and three loops (D, anti-codon, and T loops).
Source: RNAcentral
GGAGAAGUGGCUGAGCGGCUGAAAGCGCUCCCCUGCUAAGGGAGUAUAGGGUUUAUAGCUCUAUCGAGGGUUCGAAUCCCUCCUUCUCCGCCA